This 253-nucleotide ribosomal RNA is filed under the name uncultured bacterium. Its description in RNAcentral is "partial 16S ribosomal RNA". It matches the Rfam family "Bacterial small subunit ribosomal RNA", at positions 524 to 776 of the family's 1533-position model. The record is from RNAcentral.
UACGGAGGGUGCGAGCGUUGUCCGGAAUCACUGGGCGUAAAGCGCGUGUAGGCGGCUGCGCAAGUCGGAUGUGAAAUCCCAUGGCUCAACCAUGGAAGUGCACCCGAAACUGCGCAGCUAGAGUCUCGGAGAGGAAGGUGGAAUGCUUGGUGUAGAGGUGAAAUUCGUAGAGAUCCGGAGGAACACCAGUGGCGAAGGCGACACACUGGGCCGUACCUGACACUAAGACGCGACAGCAUGGGGAGCGAACGGG